AUCCGCCUGGGCGUCACGCUUCGUGGGGCGGGACGAGGAGAAGCCAAACGUAAAGACACCAGGAGUUUCUCGGGCCCAGCUCUGGCUGCUGCCGGGGAGCCCCAAGCCUUGGCGGGUCCUUGCAGCGAAUAGGAGUCUGGGCAGGCGACAGGCUAGUCCGACGAAGAGUGGGUGUGAUCAGCACUGGAAAAGAUGCCUGCCCCUGCUGCCACAUAUGAAAGAGUAGUUUACAAAAACCCUUCCGAGUACCACUACAUGAAAGUCUGCCUAGAAUUUCAAGAUUGUGGAGUUGGACUGAAUGCUGCACAGUUCAAACAGCUGCUUAUUUCUGCUGUGAAGGACCUGUUUGGGGAGAGUUUCGCUCUUCUUGCCCAGGCUGGAGUGCAAUGCCACGAUCUUGGCUCACCGCACCCUGCGCCUCCCAGGUUCAAGCGAUUCUCCUGCCUCAGCCUUGCAAGUAGCUGGGAUUACAGGUUGAUGCCGCCUUACCUUUGGACAUCCUAACCUAUGAAGAGAAGACCUUGUCAGCUA
RNAcentral lists this small RNA (531 nucleotides) under Pongo abelii (Sumatran orangutan). RNAcentral describes it as "processed transcript". The record is from RNAcentral. Lineage: Eukaryota; Metazoa; Chordata; Mammalia; Primates; Hominidae.